AAAGACUAUUAGAAUUCAUGCUAUGCAUCUAUUGAUUUGGAUGUUCUGACAGCUUAGAAGCUAAAUAUGUAAUACAUGCGUAGUUCUUACUGAGAGUUGCUUUGGUGGUCAUACCUGUCUGUCUAGCAAAAGGAGAUUUUAAGUUUUGAGUCUUGGACGGUGCAUCCAAAAAUUUGGAUCUAGGUCAAUAAAAUGAGUGAUUCCCCCUCCCCCCUCUC
RNAcentral lists this long non-coding RNA (218 nucleotides) under Phoenix dactylifera (date palm). RNAcentral's name for it is "long non-coding RNA (PDAC_LNC001137)". Lineage: Eukaryota; Viridiplantae; Streptophyta; Magnoliopsida; Arecales; Arecaceae. The record is from RNAcentral.